CAUCCUCCAAGGCUAAAUACUCCUGACUGACCGAUAGUGAACCAGUACCGUGAGGGAAAGGCGAAAAGAACCCCGGCGAGGGGAGUGAAAAAGAACCUGAAACCGUGUACGUACAAGCAGUGGGAGCCCCACCACUAAGCCAGUGGUGAACUCCACAUACGCAUCCUUUGCUGAGGAUACGGUUAACGGAGCGAAAGCGACGUUCAACCGCAAAAGAAGCAGAGGGGGCUUAGUGGUGGGGUGACUGCGUACCUUUUGUAUAAUGGGUCAGCGACUUAUAUUCUGUAGCAAGGUUAACCGUAUAGGGGAGCCGUAGGGAAACCGAGUCUUAACCGGGCGUUAAGUUGCAGGGUAUAGACCCGAAACCCGGUGAUCUAGCCAUGGGCAGGUUGAAGGUUGGGUAACACUAACUGGAGGACCGAACCGACUAAUGUUGAAAAAUUAGCGGAUGACCUGUGGCU
This 461-nucleotide ribosomal RNA is filed under the name Salmonella enterica subsp. enterica serovar Thompson. Its description in RNAcentral is "bacterial LSU rRNA". It matches the Rfam family "Bacterial large subunit ribosomal RNA", at positions 454 to 816 of the family's 2925-position model. The record is from RNAcentral. Lineage: Bacteria; Pseudomonadati; Pseudomonadota; Gammaproteobacteria; Enterobacterales; Enterobacteriaceae.